CGAACGCUGGCGGCGUGCUUAACACAUGCAAGUCGAACGGAAAGGCCCUGCUUGCAGGGUACUCGAGUGGCGAACGGGUGAGUAACACGUGGGUGAUCUGCCCUGCACUUCGGGAUAAGCCUGGGAAACUGGGUCUAAUACCGGAUAGGAGCCAUUUUUAGUGUGAUGGUUGGAAAGUUUUUUCGGUGUAGGAUGAGCUCGCGGCCUAUCAGCUUGUUGGUGGGGUAAUGGCCUACCAAGGCGGCGACGGGUAGCCGGCCUGAGAGGGUGGACGGCCACAUUGGGACUGAGAUACGGCCAGACUCCUACGGGAGGCAGCAGUGGGGAAUAUUGCACAAUGGGCGCAAGCCUGAUGCAGCGACGCCGCGUGGGGGAUGACGGCCUUCGGGUUGUAAACUCCUUUCGCUAGGGACGAAGCUUUUUGUGACGGUACCUAGAUAAGAAGCACCGGCUAACUACGUG
RNAcentral lists this ribosomal RNA (462 nucleotides) under uncultured bacterium. RNAcentral's name for it is "partial 16S ribosomal RNA". It matches the Rfam family "Bacterial small subunit ribosomal RNA", at positions 30 to 507 of the family's 1533-position model. The record is from RNAcentral.